UCUCAAUUUUUACCCAACGAUUAAGCAAAUGCACUAAGAGAUCUCUCUCUUCAAAUACGUGGCGUUGAACUUGUUUCUUCUUUUUUUCCAGAGUUAAAUGAGCCAACAAUACCUGCCGUAUGCUAUUUUUGGCCCCAAGGAAACGUUCGGACUUUCGACAACAAAGUUUUCAGUUAUAAAAGUGGUGCUCUAUUAAAACUGAUCGAGUCAAGUUCAUUUGUAGUAGAUGUUCAGGUGGACCACUCACUCUGUAUUCAAUCUGCCACGCCAACUCAGAACUGUAUUCAAGUGACAACUAUUAUUUUGGUCAACGAUAAAGAAUACGUGAUUAAACACGACGUAAACGGCACGUUCAAAGUAUACACUGCAGAGACAGAGCACCCAGUACCAUGCAAAUUCGAUGGAUUUGAAGCUAAGAAAUUAUCAGCAAAUACUUUUGUAGUCAAUGCAAAUGAAGAUACCUUAUCCAUUCAAGGAACAAAUAAAGGGAUUAUAAAAGUAACGGUUCAAAGAUUGAAUGUGAAACCGGUGAGUGGUUUAUGCGGAAAUUUGGACGGAAACCCAGAUAACGAUGUGUCUGCUGCUGAUGUCAAAUCUUUCGUCAAGAAAUGUGAGGAGGGCCGUAUUUUUUCGUUCAUAAAAAAAUGGAAAAAUAUUCUUUUCUCAGGUAAGAGGUUUUUCCAUUGUUUGGUUGAUUCUAUAAGUAAACUGAAAAGACUGAAUGGAUGAGUAAAAAUGCCAUCCAUAAAGGAAGGAACUAUCUGAGAGGUAACAUGCUCCCUGACGUAAGUAGAGAAUAGUAAAGAAAUUAACUACAUUGUGUUUGGUAUCACUAAACUAUACCAAUAUUAUGGCCGGCUGGGAUCACACUCGGAUGAGACCACUUAGAAUUAUUUAAAAACCCUGUCAGGAAAGAUUUGACUUAUUUCAGACUCGUCUUGAAGGGAAAAGAUGACUGGUUCCAGAACCGUCCAAAAAAAGGAAUAUUAAUGCUUUUUCUGAAAAUUAACGUAUUUAAUUGACAUAUCUCUUUUGUGCGUUUCUUUAUUUUUCCAAGUUAUAUUUUUACUUUAUUUUAUUUUGUAGAAGGAAAAAUCACAGCGACUGAUUUUUCCGAGGCAGCCAUUAAAGAUUCAUUCUGUUACGCUUUAAAACAAAAUCCGAAGUUCGCUGAAUGCAGAAAAGUGAGUAAUCCAUAAUUAUUUUUAAGCGUGCCUAUAGGGCUCGCUUUUUGAAAUCACUCGGAUGUACUGUAGUACAGCCACCGAUCGACAAAUGCUUUUCAAGGGGCGGUCCGAAUUUUUUUUCCGUCGGAUCCGUUCUUCCGUUUUUGAACCGUUAUAGUGUCAAGCCCUGAAGGUCAUUCAUCGAGAAACCGAAUUAUCCUGUUACUGGAAACCCUUGAGAACAUUUUCCCGUGGAAACCGUAUUAUUUUCUUUCAUAGGUACGUCAAAUAAGCUUUUCUACGCUCGGAGGAUUUAAAUUAGAAGUUUAAAUGCCGCCAUAACUAUUUAGCGAAUCAGCGUCUUUUCAAAAGCGGUUAAACCCAAGUUGGCUGCAUCUCCAUAGUUACAACUGCAGCGAAGUGAGCAAUCUCCAAUUCGACCAAUUGGAAGGCAGAGUUUUGGAGGUUAGGUUCCCUUGUUGAUUCUCUGAGUGUAAGUUGCAUUUUUUUUUUUUUUUUUUUCUUUGUCACGUUUUUUUUUUUUUUUUAUUUCCAGAAAAGAUACCUUAAAGUCUCAUUUUAAUACAAAUCAAUCGAAGAAAAGAGAAAAGACAAAGUUUGACUCAUUAAACAGAGUAAACUCCAUACUCUGCUGCUGCAAACUGAGCAAUCUCCAACAUGACGCAACAAACUGAACAAUUUCCAAACUUUAAUUUGAAAUUCUGAAUGAACCAAUUCAGUUAAAUGAUUUAUGAUGUUAUUUUCUUUGUUCAUCCAAUAUAAUUAUGUUACUUUCUUUAUUCAAUAAAAUGUAUUUUCAAUAAAAUGUAUUUACAUUCAACGGUAUCAAAUCAAUAAUUCCUCCCCAAUUUGCAGAGAGUACUAAUUUAUACACAUCUCGUUGAAAUGGAAAUAGUGCACACACUAGAUUUCAAUUAUUCGGCACGCUUUUCCAACAUAUUCAUGUUGGAUGUUUCUUCUUGUUUAAAAUUAAAUAUAUCAUUUGGUGAUCAUAGCCAUGACGACGUAGUGUAGUGUAUUGCGCCAAUAUGUAUACAUUAUAGUAUUUUAGGGCGGGAAGAAACAAAAUCAUUACAUUAUGAAAAUUUAACUGCCUGUAUCUGUAUAGAUUUAUGACCAAUUAUAUAUUUUAUUUAAGUUAUUAUUUAAAGAUCAGAUCCGCAACAAGUACUUAAACGGCUCGAAAAUAUUUGAUCAAAUGUUGACGUAAAUCGUCUAAAAAAUAAGAAAAAAUAUGGCGGGGAAAAUUUAUUGAUCAACUUCACCGAUAUCGAUGAAAAAGCUUAUGUAAGGAUGCGAGUUUGAAAAGGACUAAGAUCCUUGCCAGACCUAGGAAAGAAACAAGGAAAUAAGAAAAUUAAUAAUGGCUUUCCCACUUAUCAAAUUGGCAGGCGAUACCAACGUGGGUUAUCGAUGGUUUUAGUUUAAGCUCCUACUUUCAACAUGUAAAGUAAAUGUUAUUUCAACCUGACCCAUCUUGAAAUUGAUUCAAAUGAAUAAUAUACCCGCAACAUUUUUCGUCUUUCAGAAAAUGGGGCCCAAUGCAGUUGAAGCCUAUUUUGAGGCAUGCAUGGGUGAUUACUUGAGCUGUCCGUUGGAGAAUAAACAAGACUGUGGUUGCACUACGAUUGAGGUGCUAACCGAAAUCUGUGGGAGGAUGAAUGCUCCUGUGGAGAAAUGGAGGCAAUCGAAUUUCUGCCGUGAGUACAAAAUCUAUACUCCUCGUGAAAGUGGAUGAACGAAAAACGAAAAUAGGAAGUGGCAAUCGAAACACGUGAGGCGGUUGCCAAUCACAGUGACGUGAGAGCGAAGCGUUUUGCGCUAUUGGCAGGAGCUAAUCACCAUGCGGUGCGUCUUGCGCUGCGGCGGUAUGCGCCAUGAAGUGAGAGCAAAGCGUUUUGCGCUUUUGGUGGGAGCCAAUCACCAUUCAGUAGCAGUCGUACGUCUUGCGCUCUUCCCCCAUUGGCUGCCGCUCAUUAUUCUAUGGCCUCACCUGGCCGCCGGGGCUAUAUCACCAGCAUUUCCUGGCCUACCAAGUCCCACUGGAUGGUGAUUGGCUAUCGCUGCACACUGGAUGUCUCGAGAUCGUACUUGCCAAUUAAAGUAAGUCGUUCACGUCCAGUUGUGCAUCGAUGGGAACUUAGAAAAACACAUACCUUCCUUACCGUGUUUUAAAGCUUUCUCUUGUAGCUAUUUUCUUUUACAGUAUAUAAGAACAUAAUGUGUCAGGAAAUUUGCAUUCUCUCUCACAUUAUAAGACACAUUUGUAUGAAAUGGAUGUGAUUAUUGGCAUCAGUCGAAAUGUAUUUCAAGUUGCCUAAUUUUCUCUCAUGUUAAAGUUAUAUUUUUCUAUCAAAGAACCAAAGUACGUAACGCAUUUAACUAUUUCGUAAAUUUACCGUAGACUUUUAAGAAUAUACGCAUAUAAUUUUAAGAUUUUUGCGUUGUCUAAUUUUCAAUUUAAAGGAUACAAAAUUAAAGAAAAUUAGGCAACCUUGAUGUAGCUGGAAUGAACCCAGUUAAAUCCAUCCAUUUUUAAAAGAUAUUCUAGAAAAUGCAAAUACAAACUAAAAGAAAACCUACAACAACCUUCAGAACUUUAAAUGAGUAAGAAAAUUAUAAGAUUACGCGUUUGAUAUAUUUGAAUGGGGGUUGCAUACUCAACCUCUUAGAUAUUAAUUUGAUUAUUUUUAAAUAUUUCAUAGCCUCAUGAAAUUACAUGAAUUUAAACUAAAAUUUUUCAAUAACAUCACUGCUGUACCCCAUAUAUUACAUCGAUGAUGAAAAUCAUUAUACAUUUUGUGUAGCUUCUUUGAUGCUUGAGCGCUGAAAAAUAAGAAAAUGAUCGAUUCAGCAAGGUUAAAUCAACGAAGUAUUCCCAUUGCAAAGUUUUUGAGAAAGUACUCUUUAAUGCAUUUCGAUACUUCCCAAAUUAAAAUGUUUAGCUUUAGAAUGCGGGGAAGACUUUACAGUUCCUGUGCUCCAGCUCAUCAACCCACCUGUCGGGACGCUUUAGUUCUGCCCACCAUUCCUGAGGCGUUGGGUAAUGAGUGCCAAGAAGGAUGCAUCUGCCCUUCUGGAACUUUUCUGCAUAACGGUUCAUGCAUCGCUGCAGAUAAAUGCCCAUGUCUACGGAUGGGUAAAGAGUACAAUUCCGGCGACACAUUUACCGAAAACUGUAACACUUGGUGAGUUUAAUUUCAUGUCCCGCACCGAUUCUCAUUGUGAUUCUGAAAAACGUUAACUAAUUUGAUUAUAUUUUUUGUUUCAUUAAAAUCC
This 4466-nucleotide long non-coding RNA is filed under the name Bemisia tabaci. Its description in RNAcentral is "lncRNA ENSSSA2NGG008210". Lineage: Eukaryota; Metazoa; Arthropoda; Insecta; Hemiptera; Aleyrodidae. The record is from RNAcentral.